Non-coding RNA from Phoenix dactylifera (date palm), 2041 nucleotides. The record is from RefSeq and is a predicted model, not a curated record. NCBI's taxonomy places the organism in Eukaryota, Viridiplantae, Streptophyta, Magnoliopsida, Arecales, Arecaceae.
CUCUCUCUCUCUCUCUCUCUCUCCCUCCCUCUCUCUCUUCCGUGAAGCCCCCCGGGGACUCGAGCGUGUCGGCGACCGAUUCAGCGUUAAGACCGCGACGCCAUUCGUACGCGAGGAUCUCGCGACUAAUCGCCUACCUCCUCGUCCCCGGACGCUAGCUUCCUGUGAACCCUAUCUCCCGAUUUCCGUCGAUCGGGAGAGAGUGAGAUGGCUUCAAUCGCAUUCGCCGCCUCCGCCGCCCCCUCCGUCGUCUCCCGUCGUCUGCCGGGAUUCGGGGCUUCUGGCGAGACCAAGCUCUAUCGAUGCCGCUUCUCUUCUUCCUCCUUCUCGCGUAUGCCCGUUAGAUGCAAAUUGCUUGAGCCACUGAGGUCUGUCAAUGGAGCAUUACCGCAUAUUCCUGUCCUGAAUGAUCAGAUGUUACCUGGCCUCUUGACAACACCACACCUGCAAGAGAGGCACAAUACGCAUGACACGAGGCUGCGUAUCUUCUCAGGCACUGCAAAUCCUUCACUUGCUCAGGAAAUUGCAAGUUAUUUGGGUCUGGAACUUGGAAAAAUCAAGAUAAAGCGGUUUGCUGAUGGCGAAAUUUAUGUUCAAUUACAAGAGAGUGUUAGAGGAUGUGAUGUAUUUCUUGUGCAGCCAACAUGUCCACCAGCAAAUGAAAAUCUUAUGGAACUCUUGAUAAUGAUCGAUGCAUGCCGCAGAGCAUCUGCAAAAAAUAUUACUGCAGUUAUACCUUAUUUUGGUUAUGCUAGAGCUGACAGAAAGACUCAAGGGCGUGAAUCCAUUGCGGCAAAACUUGUAGCAAACUUGAUUACAGAAGCAGGUGCAAACCGUGUACUUGCUUGUGAUCUUCAUUCUGGGCAGUCCAUGGGAUACUUUGACAUUCCGGUCGAUCAUGUGUAUGGUCAGCCUGUGAUACUUGAUUAUCUGGCCAGCAAGACCAUUUGUUCAGAUGACUUGGUAGUGGUCUCUCCAGAUGUUGGAGGUGUAGCCAGGGCACGUGCUUUUGCCAAAAAGUUAUCAGAUGCACCUUUAGCCAUUGUGGAUAAAAGGCGUCAUGGGCAUAAUGUUGCCGAGGUGAUGAAUCUGAUUGGUGAUGUUAGAGGAAAAGUAGCUGUAAUGGUUGAUGACAUGAUAGAUACUGCUGGAACAAUUGCCAAAGGUGCAGCUUUGUUGCACCAAGAAGGAGCAAGAGAAGUCUAUGCUUGCAGCACACAUGCUGUUUUCAGCCCUCCUGCAAUCGAGAGGUUGUCAAGUGGACUAUUUCAAGAAGUUAUAAUUACUAACACUAUCCCUGUGUUGGAGCAAAAGAAUUUCCCUCAGUUGACAGUUUUGUCGGUGGCUAACCUUUUAGGCGAGACCAUCUGGCGUGUUUAUGAUGAUUGCUCUGUGAGUAGCAUCUUCCAGUGAUUGAAUUACUCCGAAGGAGGGUAAAGGAGGGGGAAAGAAGAAAACACAUGCUCCAAAAUUUGGUUGGUUACGAACCCUAUUCGAGCUUGGACAUUGACUGAUCUCGUUGAAGAUGGAAAGUGUUUUGAGCAGCAGCAAUUGCCUUCAUCUUGUCUCCUUGAAUUUCAACUGCAAUAUUCCUACAAUAUUCCUACCCGGAGUUUAGUUUCUAAAAGGUGAUGGUUUCCUCUUUUAACAUGCGAGCUGCAUGCAGUACCAGCUCCGUGAUGGGUUGCUGCCUACAAUGUUAAGAACUACAUGUUUGUGUUAUUUUUCUUUCUCCAUAGGUUUUGGUGCACAUCAAAUUCCAGUAAAUAGUCUAAGAAAAGAUUUUGUUGCUUGUUAACGUGUCCCCAUGCAUAGGGCAAGAUUGUUGCUUGAAUCUGUAUGGGCUCUAUAAGUUUCACUCAGACCUAUGUGUUGACUAUUGGCACGGUUUAGUUGGUAAGCAUAUAUGUCAAUAUGGAGUUGGGAAUAUAUUGUAAUGUUUUGUGAGGAUCCCAGUGUAGUGGUUUGAUACUAAAAUCUAUAUCGAGUAAUCUCCAUGGUUUUGCAUAGAGAAUAAAAUGAUGAACAAAGGUUAUAUCCU